CUUCGGCGGAUUUACUUUUCCUUAGCGGCGGACGGGUGAGUAACGUGUGGGCAACCUGCCCUACAGUGGGGAAUAAUCAUUGGAAACGAUGACUAAUACCGCAUACGGUCUUCGGGAGGCAUCUCCUGAAGAAGAAAGGAUUUAUUCGCUGCAGGAUGGGCCCGCAUCUGAUUAGCUAGUUGGUGAGAUAACAGCCCACCAAGGCAACGAUCAGUAGCCGACCUGAGAGGGUGAUCGGCCACAUUGGGACUGAGACACGGCCCAAACUCC
RNAcentral lists this ribosomal RNA (270 nucleotides) under uncultured Bacillota bacterium. Its description in RNAcentral is "uncultured Firmicutes bacterium partial 16S ribosomal RNA". It matches the Rfam family "Bacterial small subunit ribosomal RNA", at positions 78 to 339 of the family's 1533-position model. Lineage: Bacteria; Bacillati; Bacillota. The record is from RNAcentral.